Hemicordylus capensis (graceful crag lizard) is the source of this 1091-nucleotide long non-coding RNA. RefSeq lists it as uncharacterized. The transcript has 3 exons. The record is from RefSeq and is a predicted model, not a curated record. NCBI's taxonomy places the organism in Eukaryota, Metazoa, Chordata, Lepidosauria, Squamata, Cordylidae.
GCCAGCAGAACAAGCUGGAGAGACGGCGAAGAGGGCAAGUGGCUGAGAGGCUAUGGGGCUGGGCAGGGGGCAAUGGGGAGUCACAUGAGGUGCCUCUGGGGUGCCCCUCCAGGCAGUGGGGCCCCCAGACAACUGUCUCCCCUUGCCCUAUCAUUGUUACGCGCCUGCUCUGAAUAUAGCACAGAGCUGCAUUAGGACCUCAAGCAGCAGCUGUGACAAGGUUUACUUGUCACCGACACCAUACUUUCAUUCAGACUUAUUCAUUCAGACUUGUUUAGACUUUGCAGAAAUAUUCUUCUUGACUUCACAAGGAAAUGACAGGGAAGACCUCACAGAAAUUGAAAUCUUACUUAAGUAGGAUAUUUCCGACAAAAAUCUGACAUGAUCAGUCUGAUGCACAGCCCAUAUAUGUUUGCUGAAGAGCACUUGUCAGCAUCUGCAUAGGUGAGGACAGACCAAUUUGUCGGUGUGUCUUUCUUAAAGGGUUGUAUAAAAUGUCCUAAAGCACACAGGUUCAUUUUUGGUACCACAGGCACUGACAUAAUACUUGUACCAGUAAGUGGAGUACUUCCAUAUUUUUGUCACAAAAGAAAGCAGAGAUAGUGACUUCUCUUCCUUCUUUCAUUUCAGUCGCGGCCCAGUUUAAGCCAGUUGUGCCCAAACAAACAAGCAAAACAUCCUAAGGAUGUCCUGAUUUGAGGAAUGUUCCACUGCAGACAAAACUGCAAAACUGUUUCUUAUUUGCUUAUUAUUUUUUUGUGUAAACCACCCAGAGCUAUUUUUGGAAGGGCGGUACAGAAAUUGAAUGAACGAACGAACGAACAAACAAACAAACAAACAGUGAGUUUUGUUUUUAAAAUGCCAUCUUGUGAAAUCCAAAAGGAGCUCUCUCCUAGGUUGAGUGACAAAUGGGUGGAAACAUGCAUUUCAGCACUGGAUCAACACUGCAUAUACACUUUCAGAAAUAUUCACCCACUCACUCAUAUCCUGAAAUUAACACACCUAUUAGGAAUACAUCAUGGCCAUUUAUAAUUCAUAAAUGGCAUAUCUUUUCCUAAUAGCUUUUUUCUGAAUCACAGUCUUCUGCUUUA